This 554-nucleotide long non-coding RNA is filed under the name Setaria italica (foxtail millet). Its description in RNAcentral is "long non-coding RNA (SITA_LNC001642)". The record is from RNAcentral. Lineage: Eukaryota; Viridiplantae; Streptophyta; Magnoliopsida; Poales; Poaceae.
CUCACCAGCCAGCACCGGAGGUGGCAGCUCCGGCUUCGGGAGUUCGGGUUGGGGCAGGGGCUGUGGUGGCACCGGCAAUGGCUCCGGCUUCGGCAGGGGUUGUGGUGGCACCGGCAAUGGCUCGGGCUUGGGCAGAGGUUGUGGUGGUACAGGAAGCGGCUCAGGCUUGGGCAGGGGUUGCGGUGGCACCGGCAGUGGCUCCGGCUUCGGCAGGGGCUGUGGUGGCAUCGGCAACGGCUCCGGCUUCGGCAGGGGCUGCGGUGGCAGUGGCAGUGGCUCAGGUUUGGGCAGAGGCUGUGGUGGCACCGGCAGGGGCUCCGGCUUCGGCAGGGGUUGUGGUGGCACCGGCAGUGGCUCGGGUUUAGGUAGGGGCUGCGGUGGCACCGGCAACGGUUCUGGCUUCGGCAGGGGCUGCGGUGGCACCGGCAGUGGCUCCGGCUUCGGCAGGGGCUGUGGUGGCACCGGCAGCGGCUCGGGUUUAGGUAGGGGCUGCGGUGGCACCGGCAGUGGCUCCGGCUUCGGCAGGGGCUGCGGUGGCACCGGCAGCGGCUCGG